AGAGCGAACGCUGGCGGCAGGCUUAACACAUGCAAGUCGAACGGACCCUUCGGGGUUAGUGGCGGACGGGUGAGUAACACGUGGGAACGUGCCUUUUGGUUCGGAACAACACAGGGAAACUUGUGCUAAUACCGGAUGUGCCCUUCGGGGGAAAGAUUUAUCGCCAUUAGAGCGGCCCGCGUCUGAUUAGCUAGUUGGUGGGGUAAAGGCCUACCAAGGCUACGAUCAGUAGCUGGUCUGAGAGGAUGACCAGCCACAUUGGGACUGAGACACGGCCCAAACUCCUACGGGAGGCAGCAGUGGGGAAUCUUGCGCAAUGGGCGAAAGCCUGACGCAGCCAUGCCGCGUGAAUGAUGAAGGUCUUAGGAUUGUAAAAUUCUUUCACCUGGGACGAUAAUGACGGUACCCGGAGAAGAAGCCCGGCUAACUUCGUGCCAGCAGCCGC
This 445-nucleotide ribosomal RNA is filed under the name uncultured bacterium. Its description in RNAcentral is "SSU rRNA". It matches the Rfam family "Bacterial small subunit ribosomal RNA", at positions 26 to 518 of the family's 1533-position model. The record is from RNAcentral.